RNAcentral lists this long non-coding RNA (934 nucleotides) under Physcomitrium patens. Its description in RNAcentral is "long non-coding RNA (PPAT_LNC002267)". The record is from RNAcentral. Lineage: Eukaryota; Viridiplantae; Streptophyta; Bryopsida; Funariales; Funariaceae.
CUCCAUAAAAUUGAUUUUUGGAUAUAUUACAGUAAUAUAUAGAAAAUUCAAAAUAAACAAAACAAAAAAUUAAAUAUAUUUAGUUAAUAUCAAAAAGAUAUGACUAUGAUUCUUUUAAUGAUUGUGAAAUUUUAUUAGACAUAGUUUUACAAAAUUUUACUAAUGCAUAUAUUCACAUGUAUGUUGAUAUAUAUAUAUAUAUAUAUAUAUAUAUAUAUCUCAUCAUAUUAUAGCUUACCUUUGAAAUGACUCUAUUUUUAAACAAUUGCAAUAUAAUGGAAAGAUUUAACUAUAAUUAAUCUCAUUAAAAGAAAACUGAAUUUAGUAGUCAAUAAUAUGCCUUUCAACUUUAUCAAUCUGUACUUAUUUGCAAUGGCAUCUUCUAGUAGUAUUCUUGUGAAAUUAUUUUUGGCAAUGCUGAAUGAUUGCAUAGAUUCUGCGGUGAGUAAUGGUCAACGAGGGUACUCUCCUGUAAGUUGGUUGCCACUUAGAUCUCUGUUCAACAUGCAAAAGAGAAAUAUUAGCAGUAAAAGAUGUACAUAACAUCAAUGUAAAUUUAAUUUCAAAUGUUAAAUCUUCAAGGUUUGGGAAAUACUUACAACUCUUCAAGUUUGAGAGAAAAAUAUACAUCUGGACGACCUCCGUAAAAUCCAUUGUCAUGAAGUUCCCUGUACCGUAACAAAACUUGAAUUCAAAAAUAGAAUAAAGUAAAGAAAAACAUAAAAUUUACUUAACUUUACAGAUACAAACAAUACUAUUCUGGUAGACUGAUUUCGCAUAAGAGCACUACUUAAACACGUCUGGCAAAGUGCCGGUAAUAUUUGCAUCGGAAAGGGCCCUGACCACCAUUGCAUUCUAGUCAGGGCACAUGACAAAUAUUUCAAAUAUAGCUCCGACGAUGCCCACAACUUCACGUACCAGAUCUCAGACACAA